Molecule: ribosomal RNA, 801 nt
Filed under: Gordonia terrae
Lineage: Bacteria; Bacillati; Actinomycetota; Actinomycetes; Mycobacteriales; Gordoniaceae
Description: bacterial SSU rRNA
Rfam family: Bacterial small subunit ribosomal RNA
Source: RNAcentral
CCGCUUUGCUUGGGUACUCGAGUGGCGAACGGGUGAGUAACACGUGGGUGAUCUGCCCUGCACUCUGGGAUAAGCCUGGGAAACUGGGUCUAAUACCGGAUAUGACCAACUGUCGCAUGGUGGUUGGUGGAAAGCUUUUGCGGUGUGGGAUGGGCCCGCGGCCUAUCAGCUUGUUGGUGGGGUAAUGGCCUACCAAGGCGACGACGGGUAGCCGACCUGAGAGGGUGAUCGGCCACACUGGGACUGAGACACGGCCCAGACUCCUACGGGAGGCAGCAGUGGGGAAUAUUGCACAAUGGGCGCAAGCCUGAUGCAGCGACGCCGCGUGAGGGAUGACGGCCUUCGGGUUGUAAACCUCUUUCACCAGGGACGAAGCGUGAGUGACGGUACCUGGAGAAGAAGCACCGGCCAACUACGUGCCAGCAGCCGCGGUAAUACGUAGGGUGCGAGCGUUGUCCGGAAUUACUGGGCGUAAAGAGCUCGUAGGCGGUUUGUCGCGUCGUCUGUGAAAUUCUGCAACUCAAUUGCAGGCGUGCAGGCGAUACGGGCAGACUUGAGUACUACAGGGGAGACUGGAAUUCCUGGUGUAGCGGUGAAAUGCGCAGAUAUCAUGAGGAACACCGGUGGCGAAGGCGGGUCUCUGGGUAGUAACUGACGCUGAGGAGCGAAAGCGUGGUAGCGAACAGGAUUAGAUACCCUGGUAGUCCACCGCCGUAACGGUGGUACUAGUGUGGGUUCCUUUUUCACGGAUCCGUGCCGUAGCUAACGCAUUAGGUACCCCGCCUGGGGAGUACGGCCGCC